AUCCUUUUCUGGUUCAUAAGUGUGAUGACUGAGUAUUCAUACUGUUGCAUGACAUAUACCUCCCUCAAACCUUAAUAUAACAAUAAAUUAACCAUCUGAUA
This is a small nucleolar RNA of Nannospalax galili (Upper Galilee mountains blind mole rat), 101 nucleotides long. RefSeq annotates it as small nucleolar RNA U13. The record is from RefSeq and is a predicted model, not a curated record. Lineage: Eukaryota; Metazoa; Chordata; Mammalia; Rodentia; Spalacidae. The transcript has a single exon.